Molecule: ribosomal RNA, 274 nt
Filed under: uncultured bacterium
Lineage: Bacteria
Description: partial 16S ribosomal RNA
Rfam family: Bacterial small subunit ribosomal RNA
Source: RNAcentral
GAUGAACGCUAGCGGCAGGCUUAAUACAUGCAAAUCGAGGGGCGAGCAGUCCCGCAGCAAUGCGGGAGCUGGCGACCGGCAAACGGGUGCGGAACACGUACAGAACCUUCCUUCGAGCGGGGAAUAGCCCAGAGAAAUUUGGAUUAAUACCCCAUAGCAUUACGAAGUGGCAUCACUUUGUAAUUAAAGAUUUAUCACUCGAAGAUGGCUGUGCGGCUGANAGGUAGUUGGCGGAGUAACGGCCCACCAAGCCUUCGAUCAGUAACUGGUGUGA